Molecule: ribosomal RNA, 492 nt
Filed under: uncultured bacterium
Lineage: Bacteria
Description: partial 16S ribosomal RNA
Rfam family: Bacterial small subunit ribosomal RNA
Source: RNAcentral
AGUGAACGCUGGCGGUAGGCCUAACACAUGCAAGUCGAACGGCAGCACAGUAAGAGCUUGCUCUUACGGGUGGCGAGUGGCGGACGGGUGAGGAAUACAUCGGAAUCUACUUUUUCGUGGGGGAGAACGUAGGGAAACUUACGCUAAUACCGCAUACGACCUACGGGUGAAAGCAGGGGAUCUUCGGACCUUGCGCGAUUGAAUGAGCCGAUGUCGGAUUAGCUAGUUGGCGGGGUAAAGGCCCACCAAGGCGACGAUCCGUAGCUGGUCUGAGAGGAUGAUCAGCCACACUGGAACUGAGACACGGCCCAGACUCCUACGGGAGGCAGCAGUGGGGAAUAUUGGACAAAGGGCGCAAGCCUGAUCCAGCCAUACCGCGUGGGUGAAGAAGGCCUUCGGGUUGUAAAGCCCUUUUGUUGGGAAAGAAAAGCAGCAGGUUAAUACCCCGCUGUUCUGACGGUACCCAAAGAAUAAGCACCGGCUAACUUCGUG